GGGGGCGCAACUGGUUUCGACGGGGAUGUCGAAACGGGACGUUGCAUGCCGGGGGCCCGUGCCCCGAUAGCAAACGGGAAACCAAUAGUCGCCAACGACUAUAACUACGCCCUGGCCGCUUAAGCCGGCCAGCGUCUCCUGAAGUUUUUGUCUGUGGGGCUUCAACGAGACGUCACCUACGCAGGCUGGCCUGCUGUGUUCGGCUCAGACACAGCCGGCGAGAUCUCAUGAGUCUGGUCCCGGGAAAUCCUGCCUGUCGGAGUUUCCGGGAUAAGAUCCAGUAGAUAGGAUAAGCAUGUAGAGCUUCCCGUGGAGAAUCUUCGGACGCGGGUUCGACUCCCGCCGCCUCCACCA
This 354-nucleotide transfer-messenger RNA is filed under the name bacterium. RNAcentral's name for it is "WVXK01 sp011773515 Standard tmRNA". It matches the Rfam family "transfer-messenger RNA". From Rfam's summary of the family: Bacterial tmRNA, also known as 10Sa RNA or SsrA, is named for its dual tRNA and mRNA-like properties. Its role is to liberate the mRNA from a stalled ribosome. To accomplish this part of the tmRNA is used as a reading frame that ends in a translation stop signal. RNAcentral also lists the same sequence under 2 other names. The record is from RNAcentral.